Molecule: ribosomal RNA, 252 nt
Filed under: uncultured bacterium
Lineage: Bacteria
Description: partial 16S ribosomal RNA
Rfam family: Bacterial small subunit ribosomal RNA
Source: RNAcentral
UACGUAGGGGGCAAGCGUUGUCCGGAAUUAUUGGGCGUAAAGCGCGCGCAGGCGGUUCUUUUAGUCGGGUGGUUAAGCUCGGGGCUCAACCCCGAGUCACCCCGGAAACGGGAGAACUUGAGUGCCGAAGAGGAGAGUGGAAUUCCACGUGUAGCGGUGAAAUGCGUAGAUAUGUGGAGGAACACCAGUGGCGAAGGCGACUCUCUGGCCGGCAACUGACGCUGAGGCGCGAAAGCGUGGGGAGCAAACAGG